ACGCUGAUGCACGAAAGCGUGGGGAGCGAACAGGAUUAGAUACCCUGGUAGUCCACGCCGUAAACGAUGCUCACUCGCUGUAUGCGAUACACAGUAUGCGGCCAAGCGAAAGCAUUAAGUGAGCCACCUGGGGAGUACGAUCGCAAGGUUGAAACUCAAAGGAAUUGACGGGGGCCCGCACAAGCGGAGGAACAUGUGGUUUAAUUCGAUGAUACGCGAGGAACCUUACCUGGGCUUAAAUGGGGAACGACAGCUGCCGAAAGGUGGCCUUCUUCGGACGUUCUUCAAGGUGCUGCAUGGUUGUCGUCAGCUCGUGCCGUGAGGUGUCGGGUUAAGUCCCAUAACGAGCGCAACCCUUAUCGUUAGUUGCCAGCGGGUCAUGCCGGGGACUCUAGCGAGACUGCCACCGUAAGGUGUGAGGAAGGUGGGGAUGACGUCAAAUCAGCACGGCCCUUAUGUCCAGGGCUACACACGUGUUACAAUGGCCAAUACAAAGGGCAGCUACUUGGUGACAAGAUGCUAAUCUCUAAAGUUGGUCUCAGUUCGGAUCGAAGUCUGCAACCCGACUUCGUGAAGCUGGAUUCGCUAGUAAUCGCAUAUCAGCCAUGAUGCGGUGAAUACGUUCCCGGGCCUUGUACACACCGCCCGUCAAACAAUGGAAGCUGGGGGUA
This 671-nucleotide ribosomal RNA is filed under the name uncultured bacterium. RNAcentral's name for it is "bacterial SSU rRNA". It matches the Rfam family "Bacterial small subunit ribosomal RNA", at positions 743 to 1419 of the family's 1533-position model. The record is from RNAcentral.